RNAcentral lists this ribosomal RNA (75 nucleotides) under Cynometra sp. MDLE-2018. Its description in RNAcentral is "partial 26S ribosomal RNA". Lineage: Eukaryota; Viridiplantae; Streptophyta; Magnoliopsida; Fabales; Fabaceae. The record is from RNAcentral.
AAUGCGACCUCAGCUCAAGUGGGGCUACCCGCUGAGUUUAAGCAUAUCAAAAUCGAGACAAGAAACUACCAGGAU